RNAcentral lists this ribosomal RNA (233 nucleotides) under uncultured Actinomycetales bacterium. RNAcentral describes it as "partial 16S ribosomal RNA". It matches the Rfam family "Bacterial small subunit ribosomal RNA", at positions 97 to 334 of the family's 1533-position model. Lineage: Bacteria; Bacillati; Actinomycetota; Actinomycetes; Actinomycetales. The record is from RNAcentral.
GGCGAACGUGUGAGUAACACGUGGGUGAUCUGCCCUGCACUUCGGGAUAAGCCUGGGAAACUGGGUCUAAUACCGGAUAGGAGCCAUUUUUAGUGUGAUGGUUGGAAAGUUUUUCGGUGUAGGAUGAGCUCGCGGCCUAUCAGCUUGUUGGUGGGGUAAUGGCCUACCAAGGCGGCGACGGGUAGCCGGCCUGAGAGGGUGGACGGCCACAUUGGGACUGAGAUACGGCCCAG